GGUUCCUAGUGUAGUGUUAUCACGUUCGCUUCACACGCGAAAAAGGGCUCCGGUUCGAUCCCGGGCUGAACCA
This is a non-coding RNA of Trichonephila inaurata madagascariensis, 73 nucleotides long. NCBI's taxonomy places the organism in Eukaryota, Metazoa, Arthropoda, Arachnida, Araneae, Nephilidae. The record is from the annotation of a GenBank genome assembly.